This 232-nucleotide long non-coding RNA is filed under the name Lathyrus oleraceus (garden pea). Its description in RNAcentral is "Pisum sativum (pea) long non-coding RNA (PSAT_LNC034044)". The record is from RNAcentral. Lineage: Eukaryota; Viridiplantae; Streptophyta; Magnoliopsida; Fabales; Fabaceae.
GCUUGGCCAUCAGAUCUGCCACCUCAAUUAAUGAGAGAGAUCUAAUGGCCCUCGUUUUUUUUAAUUUCUAUUUUAAUUCUGAUUUUCUAUUUAAUUCCUUUAUUUUGUUUAAUUCAUAUUAAUUUCAUUUUUAAUCCAAAAAAUAUGGGACUUUCACCAAAAAUCUUUAAAUAUUUUCCUCUUUCAUAUUUUGAAUUACAUUUUAUUUUUUGGAUUAAUUUUGAUAUUUUCC